Molecule: ribosomal RNA, 325 nt
Filed under: uncultured eukaryote
Lineage: Eukaryota
Description: partial 18S ribosomal RNA
Rfam family: Eukaryotic small subunit ribosomal RNA
Source: RNAcentral
CCCUUAGAUGUUCUGGGCUGCACGCGCGCUACACUGAUGCGCUCAACGAGUUUACGACCUUGCCCGGAAGGGUUGGGUAAUCUUUUUAAAACGCAUCGUGAUGGGGAUAGAUUAUUGCAAUUAUUAAUCUUUAACGAGGAAUUCCUAGUAGACGUAGUUCAUCAGACUGCAUCGAUUACGUCCCUGCCCUUUGUACACACCGCCCGUCGCUCCUACCGAUUGAAUGCUCAGGUGAGCCAUUCGGACUUUCAUCAUGCUGGUUUCCAGUUUUGAUGAAGGAAAGUCUUGCGAACCUUAUCAUUUAGAGGAAGGAGAAGUCGUAACA